Molecule: long non-coding RNA, 364 nt
Filed under: Sarcophilus harrisii (Tasmanian devil)
Lineage: Eukaryota; Metazoa; Chordata; Mammalia; Dasyuromorphia; Dasyuridae
Description: lncRNA (ENSSHAG00000030126.1)
Source: RNAcentral
UAGCACUUCUAAUGCUUGUAAAAUACUCCAGAUAAUGUCAGCCUUUUCCAGUGUCUCAUUCUGGGGAAGUCCUCAUGCCCUCCUACAGAAAUGGAAAAUGGGAAAAGGAAAGGACCUCCUUAGCAUCUUUCAACGACAAAGCAAAAUAAGGAAAUGAAUAUCUGCCCAGAUCGCCCAGUCCAAUCAAUUUUCAGGAUCCAUGGCAGCUCUGGAUUCAUCGUCUCUAGUGAUUCUGAGUGUAACAAGACAUUUUCCUAUCUUAUACACGUGACCCUAUGUGACCCCAGUGUUUCUACCUUUUACCCAGCUAGUAGUCUCUUGGCUUCAUUCCAAAAUUUCAAAAAUAAAGGCUGCAAAUUAUAAC